UCCCUAGGGGACUAGUGGUUAAGCCAUGCUGCUCUCUCUGCCAUGGCCCAGGUUUGAUUCCUGGCCAGGGAU
This 72-nucleotide transfer RNA is filed under the name Pangasianodon hypophthalmus (striped catfish). Its description in RNAcentral is "tRNA-Glu". Lineage: Eukaryota; Metazoa; Chordata; Actinopteri; Siluriformes; Pangasiidae. The record is from RNAcentral.